UUCGGUUCCAGUGUUAAAAUCAUAUCCUUUCAUUUUUCUCUGAAACUUUGAAAAUGUCUCUGUUCAGUCCUUUGUGUGUACUUCUCAGGCAGUACUGAAGACAGAGAGAUAAAAGGGGCGGUGCUGACACACGUAGAUGACUGGGGCUCUGACAAUGACCGUGAGCUGAUGACCUGAGUCACACAAACUGGAAAACAAAGUUUUUCCCUAAGGAGUUGGACUUUUAAAAACUUUUUAUUGGCUGCUUUUGGAUUAAGGUGUUUAGGACCAGCAUUAUGAGCAGAAGGACUCAGUGUGUAUGAAGAAGAAACCAAGUUUUUCUACAGCAGAAGAGGAGGAAUUUGCCUUUGCAAAAUGUUAUACUGUUUUAUCUGUCGCUGAACGUGUCUGGGCAGUGGCUGUUCUCCCAGGUCUGAGUCCUGAAAAGGGAAAGAGAAAGAGAUUGUAGGACACGGUGAAAUGAUACACGAAACAGCGUUUCCCCAGCUUCUUAUUUGCCUGUACAUUUCUCAUAAAUGGAGUAAAUGCUGAACAAGCUGACUUUCUCCCAUCAUUCCUGUAAAUAAGGAUAUGACUCACAGACCUUGCAAUCUCUAAAAUGCCAUAGCUACUACAGUGAUUUGAUUAUUUAAAAAUAGCUGGGGAAAAAAACAGCAAGAAAUUGGUCCUGGGUAAGUUAGGAUGAAUUCUUUUCUGUUUGUUUUUGUUUAUCAUUUAAAUUGUUAUUGUAUCUCACCCUAAGUAUUCUGACAACAUCUAGUUUGCCAAACAAAUCUUAGGGAUUUAUGAGUUCUGGAAACUAACAAUAUGAACGUGCUGGUCAGAUCUCAGAUCCCAGGCAAAUAAACCCAAAAAACAAAAAACAAAAGACAACAAGACACAAGGUUCACCAUGGAGUCACUGUGAUCUGCGGGCAACUAUGGAUUUGGUUAUAUGA
RNAcentral lists this long non-coding RNA (937 nucleotides) under Homo sapiens (human). Its description in RNAcentral is "HSALNT0272500". Lineage: Eukaryota; Metazoa; Chordata; Mammalia; Primates; Hominidae. The record is from RNAcentral.